GUCAGAUCAAUUUCCAGUGAGAUCAAGCUCAAGCUACUACCAGAACCAGCUAGUGGUGAAGGGCCAGCAAUUCCCAUCUGGAUCCAAAGAUCCAAGCAAACAAUCAAAAAAAAAGGAAACAUGAGAUGCGGCAAUUUCCACCACCAUGCCCUCCUCUUCCUCCCUUAUGGUGACCAUCGGUGGCUGUCGGGUGCAAGUCAGGUGUGAUCCGGGCA
RNAcentral lists this long non-coding RNA (215 nucleotides) under Elaeis guineensis (African oil palm). Its description in RNAcentral is "long non-coding RNA (EGUI_LNC008121)". Lineage: Eukaryota; Viridiplantae; Streptophyta; Magnoliopsida; Arecales; Arecaceae. The record is from RNAcentral.